Molecule: long non-coding RNA, 3419 nt
Organism: Pantherophis guttatus
Lineage: Eukaryota; Metazoa; Chordata; Lepidosauria; Squamata; Colubridae
Source: RefSeq, a predicted model, not a curated record
UCCUGCAGCUCUUUGGAGCUGGAAGUGGGGGGACGCAGAGCAUUUCUACAGGGGAGAAUUUUUGCUUCACCUCAGGCUCACUCCCAGUCCUUCUGACAUGCUGUCAGCACCCUCUAUCCACUUCAGCAGCCUAGGCGAGCAAGAAAGGGUCGAGUGGAUGACUGUUACUGUUAAGGCCCGAAGCUUAAGACAGGAUUUUGAUUUAUAUUCCUGGUUUUGCGUGUUUCUGAACUGGAGGAAAUGAAAAAAACAAACAAACAAACCACGGACUGUUUUCAAACUACUUUUGAAGGAUUGAAGCUUGAAAACAAUGGUGAGGUGGAAGCCCUUAGACUGGAAAGCCAUUGCCAAUCAAAGUGACAGUACUAGACUAGAUGGACCUGAACAUUACAAAGCAAAGAUUCUUAUGAGAGCUGGGCUGGCUUUUAGUAGGAAUCUGACAAUAGACUGUUUCCAAACCAGUAACAGCUUCACUUUACUUAGUGAAUGGUGGAAAAACAGAAGCCACUGAUAGUCAUUCUCUCUCUCUUUUUUUUAAAAUGGCUGAAAUUCCACAAGAUAGGUGAAGUUCUCAAGAUUUCUGCCUUUUCACAUAAGAUCUUAUGAUAUUUGGGCCGUGUUUGACUUUUUAAUUAAAAAGGAAAAUGAAGGAAGCAACAUCCUGAAAAACUGCAGUUGCUAACCCCUGGUACCACAGGUUUCCUGUAUCUUUCGUGCGAACUCCCCCUCUGCAACAAAAUCGAUCCUGCUGCACAAGAAGGAGAGUGGAAAAUACAACCCUGAUGAAAUUUCACCUGGUAUUCGCACACCGUCAUGGCAAUAAUGUAGUAUCAUUUGCAGACAGAAGCUGUUCCACUCAGUGAGAUACACGGUCUCGGGGUUGAUAGAUAUCUUCAAACAGUGCUUGGUUAAAUGUUCAUGAUUCUGUUGCCAUGGGAAUAUUCAUAGGCUAGUCAUAGCUCUGAGGCGUGAAAAGGUCCAGAAAAACCACAAACACACACAGAGUGUACUUUGGUGGCAUAUUGCUUGAGUGGAGUCACAAACAAAUCAAUCUUUGGGGAGGAAAAUCCCCCAAAGCUGAGAUUUAUGGCAUUAGUUAUGGCUAUGAGUGCUCCUGCCUUGCUUUUCCUUCUCUCUCUCUCUCCCUCUCUCUCUCCCUCCCUCCCUCCCCCCUGUCUCUGCAACCCUGUCUAGCAUUACACCCUAAAUUCAACAAAACAAUAAUACAUUGCUAAAGAGGGAUUGAUUUUUCCAGCAGACAUUGUUGUAGCCAUUACAGGGGAAUCUAUGUGAUAUAUUUGCAAUUGUUUUCUCCAAGAUCUAAUGGAUUAUUACAUAGGUUAGAUGAAGGUCUCCUUUGCGUUCUGUCUUCUACAGCAUAUGUAGAAAGAUCUUUAUUGUCCCGAUCACUGGAAGUUCAGCCAAUACAUGGCAGUCAUGCAUUGAUGAUUAGAGAAUCUCUCCAAGGACAUAUCGCAAUGAGAUGGUACUUCCAUUUUUGUCUGCAGCAAUUGCUUUGAUAAAUUUGCUCCGUUUUAGGGUUUAUUUGUGACUGUCCAGCCUCAUUAAUGCCUCCGGGCAAAUCUGAAGAAAGCAUCAAGCUGAUAGGUAGGUAUCAAUCACAGAGGAGCUUCUUUUGUGAGAAGGAACAAUGCAGACAUCAUGUAGCCGUGCUUUUGUGAUUUGUGCUACCACAAUAAGCUAUUUAUGGAAUCCUACUCAUGAGCCCUAAGCAUAACAGCUUAAGAUACCACUACCAGGAAAAUGGUGAAAUUCCCCAUUCAUGAUUUGAAGAAUAUGUAAGAUAAAGCAAUAAAAACAUCCUAAAGUAAAGCCCAGUUUCUGAGGACUAAAUGUACAAAUGCAUGUAAUUUUCUUGGCACCGACACCAACAUGUUUUACCAUUGUCAUCUUCUGGGAUGAUUUCCUAACUUUUUCUUUUAAUUUAGUAAAGCAUAGGACUUCUUCAUGUCAUCCAAAUACUAAGCAGGUUUGAGCUUGCUUAGCUUUUCAAAAUCAGCCGAUUUUAGGCAGGAAAGCAUCCUUUUAAUAUGCAUUAGCUAUGAACAGGUAGCCAUCACCAUGAUAAACAAAAUCAAGAUUGCAAUAAAUGAGAGCCAGGAGAACAGUAUAAAUUGUAUUAAACAGUAUAAAUAGUAUUAAUAUAUUGGGCACCUUAAUAUACAGUAGUUGCAAAGCCUAGAUUCUUUUUCAGUCAUAUAUUACUUAGCAUUAAAAUGAAUAACCUUUUCUGUUCUUUUACAUGUUUAUUUAUAUUUGUAUUGAGAUUUAAAUGAAUAAGAAUCUUCUAUUUUAUACUCAGCUUUAUUUAUAUGCUCAGAAACAAAACAAAAUCUGUUUGUGAUCCAAGUAAGCCUCUCAUAGUUAUCUUAUUGCGGAGAUGGAGGGCGGCAUAUACAUUUAAUAAACAAACAAGCAAUGAGAGUUGGUUUACCAAAAAUUAUCUAUCUAGUGGUUAGAAUGUGGCGCAGUGGUUAGAAUGGAGUAUUGCAGGCUACUUCUGCUGAUCACCGGCUGCCAGCAGUUCGGCAGUUCAAGUCUCACUGGCUCAAGGUUGACUCAGCCUUCCAUCCUUCCAAGGUUGUUAAAAUGAGGACCCAGAUUGUUGGGGGCAAUAUGCUGACUUUUUUAAUUGCUUAGAGAGGGCUGUAAAGCACUGUGAAGUGGUAUAUAAAUCUAAGUGCUAUUGCUGUUGCUAGUGUGAUCAAGCUAUCUUUCUGAUAAAAGAAGGUUGCAAUUACAGAAGAAUUACUGUUUGUUCUAGUACAUGUGUCAAAUUUAAUUUCUAAUAUACCCAUUUUAUAGGAUGUCAGAGUUGAAAAGACUGUUCCUGACAUGUACAAAAUUGCCACCAGUGAAUAACAAGCAAACAAUAGUCUGCAUGACUGUUAAGGCAGCUUCUUAUGAAUAUGUUACAAUGAAAUCUGAAACUAUAUCAGUGGUGCUUUAGUGGUUUAAAAAACAAGUCCAGGGUUAGAAUUCGGCAUAUUAAACCUUGACUGAAAUACCCACUCAGCCCUGCAGAUGAUGAAACUACAGUGGACCAAUGGUUCCCUUUUGCUAACCUCACAAAGAUGUAAAUUUUUUUCUUUCUUUUUUGUGAAAAUAAAUUAACAUCGCAGGCAGGACUAAAUUACUGUCUCUCUUAGAAACAGAUCUUUCUGGAUCCAAUGCUAGUAAUUUGACCUUAUAUUGUUUAGGGGAUGGCUCCUCACACAUUACUUUUCAGGUUUCUAAUUUUUUUUAAAGAGCUGUAACUAUUAGAGGAGAACGAUGUAAUUCCUCUCAGCCAAGGCUUCUGGUAGCCAACUGUUUAUGAUAUUAUUUUCCCCAUGUUCUUUUGCAAUUAUAUUUGUACUUUGGUCUGUGACUGCAAAUAAAACUUAUUAUUAAAUUAA